GGUUAAGCGACUAAGCGUACACGGUGGAUGCCCUGGCAGUCAGAGGCGAUGAAGGACGUGCUAAUCUGCGAAAAGCGUCGGUAAGGUGAUAUGAACCGUUAUAACCGGCGAUGUCCGAAUGGGGAAACCCAGUGCAAUUCGUUGCACUAUCGUUAACUGAAUACAUAGGUUAACGAGGCGAACCGGGGGAACUGAAACAUCUAAGUACCCCGAGGAAAAGAAAUCAACCGAGAUUCCCCCAGUAGCGGCGAGCGAACGGGGAGCAGCCCAGAGUCUGAAUCAGCUUGUGUGUUAGUGGAACGGUCUGGAAAGUCCGACGGUACAGGGUGAUAGUCCCGUACACCAAAAUGCACAGGUUGUGAACUCGAAGAGUAGGGCGGGACACGUGGUAUCCUGUCUGAAUAUGGGGGACCAUCCUCCAAGGCUAAAUACUCCUGACUGACCGAUAGUGAACCAGUACCGUGAGGGAAAGGCGAAAAGAACCCCGGCGAGGGGAGUGAAAAAGAACCUGAAACCGUGUACGUACAAGCAGUGGGAGCACCUUCGGGUGUGACUGCGUACCUUUUGUAUAAUGGGUCAGCGACUUAUAUUCUGUAGCAAGGUUAACCGUAUAGGGGAGCCGCAGGGAAACCGAGUCUUAACUGGGCGUUAAGUUGCAGGGUAUAGACCCGAAACCCGGUGAUCUAGCCAUGGGCAGGUUGAAGGUUGGGUAACACUAACUGGAGGACCGAACCGACUAAUGUUGAAAAAUUAGCGGAUGACUUGUGGCUGGGGGUGAAAGGCCAAUCAAACCGGGAGAUAGCUGGUUCUCCCCGAAAGCUAUUUAGGUAGCGCCUCGUGAACUCAUCUUCGGGGGUAGAGCACUGUUUCGGCUAGGGGGUCAUCCCGACUUACCAACCCGAUGCAAACUACGAAUACCGAAGAAUGUUAUCACGGGAGACACACGGCGGGUGCUAACGUCCGUCGUGAAGAGGGAAACAACCCAGACCGCCAGCUAAGGUCCCAAAGUCAUGGUUAAGUGGGAAACGAUGUGGGAAGGCACAGACAGCCAGGAUGUUGGCUUAGAAGCAGCCAUCAUUUAAAGAAAGCGUAAUAGCUCACUGGUCGAGUCGGCCUGCGCGGAAGAUGUAACGGGGCUAAACCAUGCACCGAAGCUGCGGCAGCGACACUAUGUGUUGUUGGGUAGGGGAGCGUUCUGUAAGCCUGCGAAGGUGACCUGUGAGGGUUGCUGGAGGUAUCAGAAGUGCGAAUGCUGACAUAAGUAACGAUAAAGCGGGUGAAAAGCCCGCUCGCCGGAAGACCAAGGGUUCCUGUCCAACGUUAAUCGGGGCAGGGUGAGUCGACCCCUAAGGCGAGGCCGAAAGGCGUAGUCGAUGGGAAACAGGUUAAUAUUCCUGUACUUGGUGUUACUGCGAAGGGGGACGGAGAAGGCUAUGUUAGCCGGGCGACGGUUGUCCCGGUUUAAGCAUGUAGGCUGGUUGUCCAGGCAAAUCCGGAUAAUCAAGGCUGAGGUGUGAUGACGAGGCACUACGGUGCUGAAGUAACAAAUGCCCUGCUUCCAGGAAAAGCCUCUAAGCAUCAGGUAACAUUAAAUCGUACCCCAAACCGACACAGGUGGUCAGGUAGAGAAUACCAAGGCGCUUGAGAGAACUCGGGUGAAGGAACUAGGCAAAAUGGUGCCGUAACUUCGGGAGAAGGCACGCUGGUGUGUAGGUGAAGCCCCUGCGGGUGGAGCUGAGACCAGUCGAAGAUACCAGCUGGCUGCAACUGUUUAUUAAAAACACAGCACUGUGCAAACACGAAAGUGGACGUAUACGGUGUGACGCCUGCCCGGUGCCGGAAGGUUAAUUGAUGGGGUUAUCCGUAAGGAGAAGCUCUUGAUCGAAGCCCCGGUAAACGGCGGCCGUAACUAUAACGGUCCUAAGGUAGCGAAAUUCCUUGUCGGGUAAGUUCCGACCUGCACGAAUGGCGUAAUGAUGGCCAGGCUGUCUCCACCCGAGACUCAGUGAAAUUGAACUCGCUGUGAAGAUGCAGUGUACCCGCGGCAAGACGGAAAGACCCCGUGAACCUUUACUAUAGCUUGACACUGAACAUUGAGCCUUGAUGUGUAGGAUAGGUGGGAGGCUUUGAAGCGUGGACGCCAGUCUGCGUGGAGCCAACCUUGAAAUACCACCCUUUAAUGUUUGAUGUUCUAACGUUGGCCCCUUACCGGGGUUGCGGACAGUGUCUGGUGGGUAGUUUGACUGGGGCGGUCUCCUCCUAAAGCGUAACGGAGGAGCACGAAGGUUAGCUAAUCCUGGUCGGACAUCAGGAGGUUAGUGCAAUGGCAUAAGCUAGCUUGACUGCGAGCGUGACGGCGCGAGCAGGUGCGAAAGCAGGUCAUAGUGAUCCGGUGGUUCUGAAUGGAAGGGCCAUCGCUCAACGGAUAAAAGGUACUCCGGGGAUAACAGGCUGAUACCGCCCAAGAGUUCAUAUCGACGGCGGUGUUUGGCACCUCGAUGUCGGCUCAUCACAUCCUGGGGCUGAAGUAGGUCCCAAGGGUAUGGCUGUUCGCCAUUUAAAGUGGUACGCGAGCUGGGUUUAGAACGUCGUGAGACAGUUCGGUCCCUAUCUGCCGUGGGCGCUGGAGAAUUGAGGGGGGCUGCUCCUAGUACGAGAGGACCGGAGUGGACGCAUCACUGGUGUUCGGGUUGUCAUGCCAAUGGCACUGCCCGGUAGCUAAAUGCGGAAGAGAUAAGUGCUGAAAGCAUCUAAGCACGAAACUUGCCCCGAGAUGAGUUCUCCCUGAGACUUUAAGUCUCCUGAAGGAACGUUGAAGACGACGACGUUGAUAGGCCGGGUGUGUAAGCGCAGCGAUGCGUUGAGCUAACCGGUACUAAUGAACCGUGAGGCUUAACCUU
This 2900-nucleotide ribosomal RNA is filed under the name Klebsiella pneumoniae. RNAcentral describes it as "23S ribosomal RNA". It matches the Rfam family "Bacterial large subunit ribosomal RNA". Lineage: Bacteria; Pseudomonadati; Pseudomonadota; Gammaproteobacteria; Enterobacterales; Enterobacteriaceae. The record is from RNAcentral.